GUUAAGGAGAAUGUUGUCUGGUUCGUGACCAUAUAUAUAUAUAUAUAUUUCAUCAUUUAAAUGAUCUCGGACCAGGCUUCAUUCCCCUCAAC
Molecule: microRNA precursor, 92 nt
Filed under: Capsicum annuum
Lineage: Eukaryota; Viridiplantae; Streptophyta; Magnoliopsida; Solanales; Solanaceae
Description: mir-166 microRNA precursor family
Rfam family: mir-166 microRNA precursor family
About the family: This family represents the plant microRNA (miRNA) precursor mir-166. Animal miRNAs are transcribed as ~70nt precursors and subsequently processed by the Dicer enzyme to give a ~22nt product. In plants the precursor sequences may be longer, and the carpel factory (caf) enzyme appears to be involved in processing.
Source: Rfam by way of RNAcentral